Molecule: ribosomal RNA, 594 nt
Filed under: uncultured bacterium
Lineage: Bacteria
Description: bacterial SSU rRNA
Rfam family: Bacterial small subunit ribosomal RNA
Source: RNAcentral
AACACGUAUGUAAUCUACCCUUUACUGGAGAAUAGCCCGAAGAAAUUCGGAUUAAUACUCCAUAAUAAUAUUGGAAGGCAUCUUUUGAUAUUUAAAGUUCCGACGGUAAAGGAUGAGCAUGCGCGAUAUUAGCUAGUUGGUGAGGUAACGGCUCACCAAGGCGACGAUAUCUAGGGGUACUGAGAGGUUACACCCCCACACUGGUACUGAGACACGGACCAGACUCCUACGGGAGGCAGCAGUAAGGAAUAUUGGACAAUGGUCGCAAGACUGAUCCAGCCAUGCCGCGUGCAGGAUGAAUGCCCUAUGGGUUGUAAACUGCUUUUAUACGGGAAUAAACCCGGGUACGUGUACCCGGCUGAAUGUACUGUAAGAAUAAGGGUCGGCUAACUUCGUGCCAGCAGCCGCGGUAAGACGAAGGACCCAAGCGUUAUCCGGAUUCAUUGGGUUUAAAGGGUGCGUAGGCGGGUUGAUAAGUCAGUGGUGAAAGCCCAACGCUUAACGUUGGAACUGCCAUUGAUACUGUCGAUCUUGAAUGUGUUUGAUGUGGGCGGAAUAUGACAUGUAGCGGUGAAAUGCUUAGAUAUGUCAUAG